This 356-nucleotide unclassified non-coding RNA is filed under the name Hevea brasiliensis (rubber tree). Lineage: Eukaryota; Viridiplantae; Streptophyta; Magnoliopsida; Malpighiales; Euphorbiaceae. The record is from RNAcentral.
UUAAAAAAAAAAAAAAAGAAAGAACUUGCAAGAUUUUGAUUUUGAUAUACUGAAGAUUGAGAAGAUUUGGGAAUUUGGGUCACCAAAGGGCAGUGAGAUAGCGGUGGAUCAAAGUAAAUAGAGAGGGAAAAGAGUAAGAAACUGAGGGGAAUAAAAAGAACCCUAGUAAGAGAAGAAUCAAAUGAAAUGCAGAGAGAAAAUUAAAGAGACAUUGUAAUUUAAAAAAACAAUGGCAAGAGAUUGAUGAAUCAUUCCGCAGAAAGAGAGUAAAACUCUAAGAUAGUGAGUUUAAGAGAGAGACUGGAUUCUGAGAAGCAGAGGGAGAGAGCGCGCGCGCGCGCGAGAGAGAGAGAGAG